RNAcentral lists this ribosomal RNA (292 nucleotides) under uncultured bacterium. Its description in RNAcentral is "partial 16S rRNA". It matches the Rfam family "Bacterial small subunit ribosomal RNA", at positions 521 to 812 of the family's 1533-position model. The record is from RNAcentral.
UAAUACGAGGGGGGCAAGCGUUGUCCGGAUUUAUUGGGCGUAAAGAGUUCGUAGGCUGGUUGGUCAGUCGAAAUUGAAAUCCCACGGCUUAACCGUGGACCCGGUUUUGAUACUGCCAAUCUUGAGUGAGGUAGAGGUAAGCGGAAUUCCUGGUGUAGCGGUGAAAUGCGUAGAUAUCAGGAGGAACACCAAAGGCGAAGGCAGCUUAAUGGACCUAUACUGACGCUGAGGAACGAAAGCGUGGGGAGCAAACAGGAUUAGAGACCCUGGUAGUCCACGCCGUAAACGAUGA